UACGUAGGGGGCAAGCGUUGUCCGGAUUUAUUGGGCGUAAAGAGCGUGUAGGCGGCCAGGUAGGUCCGGUGUGAAAACUCGAGGCUUAACCUCGAGAUGUCAUCGGAAACCAUCUGGCUAGAGUCCGGAAGAGGAAAGUGGAAUUCCUGGUGUAGCGGUGAAAUGCGCAGAUAUCAGGAAGAACACCAAUGGCGAAAGCAGCUUUCUGGGACGGUACUGACGCUGAGACGCGAAAGCGUGGGGAGCGAACAGG
This 253-nucleotide ribosomal RNA is filed under the name uncultured bacterium. RNAcentral's name for it is "partial 16S ribosomal RNA". It matches the Rfam family "Bacterial small subunit ribosomal RNA", at positions 524 to 776 of the family's 1533-position model. The record is from RNAcentral.